This 347-nucleotide ribosomal RNA is filed under the name uncultured archaeon. RNAcentral's name for it is "bacterial SSU rRNA". It matches the Rfam family "Archaeal small subunit ribosomal RNA", at positions 19 to 346 of the family's 1478-position model. The record is from RNAcentral.
GGAGCUCAGUGCUGUUGGGGUUCGAUUAACACAUGCGAGUCGGCUGGUUGUGCGCAAGUGCAGCUGGCGGCGAACUGCUGAGUAACACGUAGUUAACCUGCCCUCGGGAGGCGGAUACCCUCGCGAAAGUGAGGUUAACCCGCCAUAGGUGUUGGAGGCUGGAAGGCACCGACGCUCAAAUCUGAAGCGUAAAAGCGUAGGGCCCGAGGAUGGGACUGCGGCCUAUCAGGUAGACGUCAGGGUAAACACCUGACGUGCCGAUAACGGGUAGGGGCUGUGUGAGCAGUAGCCCCCAGAUGGAUUCUGAGACAUGAAUCCAGGCCCUACGGGGCGCAGCAGGCGCGAUG